GGACCUGACUGCUAUCGGAUUGAUACUAAGCCAUGCGAGUCAUUGUAGCAAUACAAGGCAGACGGCUCAGUAACGCGUAGUCAACCUACCCUAUGGACGGGAAUAACCUCGGGAAACUGAGUAUAAUGCCCGAUAGAACAUUAUACCUGGAAUGGUUUAUGUUCCAAAUGAUUUAUCGCCGUAGGAUGGGACUGCGGCCUAUCAAUUUGUUGGUGAGGUAAUGGCCCACCAAGACUAUUACAGGUACGGGCUCUGAGAGGAGUGGCCCGGAGAUGGGUACUGAGACACGGACCCAGGCCCUAUGGGGCGCAGCAGGCGAGAAAACUUUGCAAUGUGCGAAAGCACGACAAGGUUAAUCCGAGUGGUUUCUGCUAAAGGAACCUUUUGUCAGUCCUAGAAACACUGAUGAAUAAGGGGUGGGCAAGUUCUGGUGU
RNAcentral lists this ribosomal RNA (434 nucleotides) under uncultured archaeon. RNAcentral's name for it is "bacterial SSU rRNA". It matches the Rfam family "Archaeal small subunit ribosomal RNA", at positions 19 to 458 of the family's 1478-position model. The record is from RNAcentral.